RNAcentral lists this ribosomal RNA (492 nucleotides) under uncultured bacterium. RNAcentral's name for it is "partial 16S ribosomal RNA". It matches the Rfam family "Bacterial small subunit ribosomal RNA", at positions 29 to 507 of the family's 1533-position model. The record is from RNAcentral.
AGUGAACGCUGGCGGUAUGCCUAACACAUGCAAGUCGAACGGCAGCACAGUAAGAGCUUGCUCUUACGGGUGUCGAGUGGCGGACGGGUGAGGAAUACAUCGGAAUCUACUUUUUCGUGGGGGAUAACGUAGGGAAACUUACGCUAAUACCGCAUACGACCUCCGGGUGAAAGCAGGGGAUCUUCGGACCUUGCGCGAUUGAAUGAGCCGAUGUCGGAUUAGCUAGUUGGCGGGGUAAAGGCCCACCACGGCGACGAUCCGUAGCUGGUCUGAGAGGAUGAACCGCCAGACUGGAACUGAGAAAGGGUCCAGACUCCUACGGGAGGCCGCAGUGGGGAAUAUUGGACAAUGGGCGCAAGCCUGAUCCAGCCAUACCGCGUGGGUGAAGAAGGACUUAGGGUUGUAAAGCCCUUUUGGUGGGAAAGAAAAGCAGCAGGUUAAUACCCCGCUGUUCUGACGGUACCGAAAGAAUAAGCACCGGCUAACUUCGUG